UUCUGAAAUCACGAUCGCAGAGCCGAGUAUGAUUCUCACCCUUCCCUGUUGUAGAACCAAAGAGUACAGGCGGCUGGGGACCAAAGUGGGCGAGCGCGAGAGUAUUUUUGGAUCGCACGGGAAACCUGCCACACCAGCAGCAGCAGCAGCAGCAGCAGCAGCAGCAUCGGGGCCUGGUACCGGGCUUCCCUAACCCACUCCCACUCCGAGAGGAAGAACAGCAGAGAGACGUUCCUUCAAAAGAAGAACCACGCUUCCGCUGCAUUUCUUUUUCUUAUUUUUGCUCUCUUUCCUUCAAUUGCCCGGCGUUUGAAUGAUGAUGUAGUAUAUAUAACUAUGCAGAGCCCGACAUGAGCGGGAGAGGGAGAGAGAAUAACGAACUUGGCAGCUUAGGCGAGUAUCCUGUAUUUAUAGAAAGUCGUGUUUCUGGCAGAGGUUUCUGUGGUUUUUAGCUCUCCCAAUUCAUUUGGUCGUGUCUUACAGGCCCUAUUGUAUCCAGGUUUAGAUUGAAGAUGUUCCCUCAUCUAGCGCCUUGGGGGGAGAUUUGACUCGGAGACAUGUCAGGAUGUGAUUUGGGGGAGGCAGAUGGAUCUCUCCAGCUCUUGUGCAACCCUGGCUUUCGUAGUAAAAAAGAAAUCACGUUGCAUCCACGAACUUAACAAGACAAAACAACACAGGACUGAAGGCUCAAUGCAAAUGUGUGCAGCACAGAUGCAUUUGAUUGCUGUCUGGGUGCAGGCAGCGCCGUAACCUUCCUUGUAUGUGUCUUAUAGGUUGUGUAUAACCUCUCCACAUCAUGGGAGGUUUGAAGUGCUUUUUUAUUCCAAACAGCAAGGACAGCCUCGGCAUCUCGGUGGAUUUCCUGCUAUGGAUCAGGAUGUAACGCUUGAAAAAGGCUGCUGGACAACCAAUGGUCAUAACUGGCCCAAAACAUCCACAGAAUCCAGUACUUUGACUGUCCGUUGGAUGGCUCUGCAGAAUCAACACGCCACAGCCCGUAGAUGAUGUUACAUCAGCUUCGUCUCAACCCGAAUGUAGUAUCUUGUUGAAAGCUCUGAUCUCAGAGGGCAGUCGCUCCUCACUGCCUCUUCAACUCUACCGGGCACCCACCUGCAAGCAGAACUCCCACACCUUGUCCAGGAGUGAACCUGAAAAUAACACGGCCAAGAGGUUACACAUACGGCAGAAAGGGCUGGAUGUGCCUUCCCCCGGCACCGCUGGAAGUUGUGGAAGGCGUCGCUCGGAUAAUUGAUAAAGCUGGAAUAAUGCAAUCAAAACAUAAUCAGCAGUGGCAGCUGUGACUGGAUCCUCGAGCAGCUCUGCCAGUGUUGCCUUAAUAAAAUAACAAGUAAUUAAGUAAUUGUAGAUGGGUAAUUAAAUGUGUUACCUCGUGUAGACAGACAAAUUAAUUGGCCAGUGACUACAGUAUGAGACUAUCAAGGCUUUCUUAAAGUAUCGCACGAUAUUCUUUGAUUAAAGCGCUGUUUCAUCUCACUUCCACAGCCAGCGCUUUGAACCUGGUUGAAGCCACUGCCCUUGUUAAAGCAUGGAGGAAUCGCCCGUAUUCCUCCUCCCGCCGCCCGACGGUUCCCUAAGAAACGGGAGCGUUUUGUCUCUCAGUGCUCAGAAGCAAGGGAAUAAAGCGAAAGCUUUCAUUAAACUCUCCCAGGUAUGGCGUUACCCCCGUGCUAUAAUGUCAGUAAGUGCUAACAUUACAUAAAUCCAUUACUUAGUCCCCGUGAUGUGGCAUUUUAUAGAGGAGAGAGGUGAGCCACGCUGCCGUUAUCAUCACAGCUUUCCAUGAUCUGAACUCUGUGUGAUCAGAUUGGUUUUAAUAGACUCUGGAUUACUUGGAGGCAGUUCCUCAAAGCUAAACAUCUCUGGGCCUAGAAUUAGAGUGCACAUCUGAGGUGAAAACGAUUUGUUCUGGAGAAUGUCACUGCUGCAAUGAAAGAGCUUAUACGCUAUUAUCAUACACUACCUUAAAAAGAUGACAGGGUAGCGGCUCAGCGAUCCUUUGAUACAUUUUCCACCACGCAGUAUUGAAGGAAAUAGCAUCAGAUUUGAGUAGUCUCGCAUAAGCAGGCCAUUUAUUAUCUCUAAUAAUGUCUUUGCAUUUGUAUUUUAUUCCCUAUAGCCCACAAGCUUUUUUAUCUUCCGUUAAUGUUGUCUGCAACAAAGCACGCUCCGAACCUUUUCGAACAGCUUGAGAUCUGAGUGCACAGGAGCCCUUUCGUGACAUUUCAGAAUAAGAAUAAAAUCCGGUGCUUAUUGGUAAAGUGCUGUCUGUAGUGAUGUGAAGCGUGUGAUGUUCUGGGUUUGGCCCACUUACCUUUUAACAUUUUUCUGCCACGUGCACUUGUGACCCCUCGACAGAGGUUUGUUGGCUGCUGUGAAACGUCCAGAUGAAGAGUGACUUCGUCUCCUCGCAUUGUUUUACUUGAGCUGCUUUUACAGAGUGUAGUGUUAAACCUGUUUGUCGUUCUCUCCACAAAGAAUAAAAUUCCAACUUAGAUCCUUCACUUUAGUUUGCACAUCUGUGUAAAACAAACAUGAAUGAGACUGGCUUCAGUGUUACGACAAGGACGUUUUAUUUACUUCAAGACCCACUUCAUAAUUUGUAAUGUAGCAAUAUGACAAAUAAACAGUAACACGAUAAGUAAGUAAACGAGUAAAGACUUUGCAUUUAAGGUUCCACUUCCAAGAUAAAUAUAUAAAUGACAAAGCUACACGUUGUCUUUGGUCUCUGGUUUGGAUGUUGUGUUCUGUAGACUUUGUCCUCGGAGGUCGUAUCAGCUACAGCAUUUAUUAUAUUUUCAUUUGUGUGUUCAUCUUUCACAUUGGUUAAACGCAGCAGUACAAAUGUUAAUAUAUCAGUUACUGGGUUAAAUGAUUUUAGUCUUGUCACCUUAUAGCAGCUUAGUUUUUAUUAUAAUAUAAAUGAACAUCAAAGAAUAAAUGAAAAAUAAAUAAUAUAUGGAAAUGACAUGACCAUCACCUCAUCUUUCAUCAUCUAAAAAUAAUAAUCAUAAUAUCAUUUCAUUCAUUAUAUUUUCUGAAGCACAUUUAUACUUUCUACCUAAUCAAGAUGAAGCUAAAAGUAAAUGUAU
Molecule: long non-coding RNA, 3110 nt
Organism: Betta splendens (Siamese fighting fish)
Lineage: Eukaryota; Metazoa; Chordata; Actinopteri; Anabantiformes; Osphronemidae
Exons: 3
Source: RefSeq, a predicted model, not a curated record